CCUACGGGAGGCAGCAGUGAGGAAUAUUGGUCAAUGGGCGGAAGGCUGAACCAGCCAAGCCGCGUGAAGGAUGAAGGUGCCAAGCAUUGUAAACUUCUUUUGUCAAGGGACAAAAUGAGGCUCGAGAGCCUGAACGAGGGGACCUCGAGAAAAAGCAUCGGCUAACUCCGUGCCCGCAGCCGCGGUAAUACGGAGGAAGCGAGCGUGAUCCGGAUUUAUUGGGUUUAAAGGGUGCUUAGGCGGACUGUUAAGUCAGUGGUAAAAGCUCGGGGCUCAACCCCGGCGCGCCGUUGAAAAUGGCUGUCUUGAGAGGAAGAGAGGUAUGCGGAAUGCGCGGUGUAGCGGUGACAUGCAUAGAUAUUGCGCAGAACCCCGAUUGCGAAGGCAGCAUACCGGCUGCGAUCUGACGCUGAGGCACGAAAGCGUGGGUAUCGAACAGGAUUAGAUACCCGAGUAGUC
Molecule: ribosomal RNA, 459 nt
Filed under: uncultured bacterium
Lineage: Bacteria
Description: partial 16S ribosomal RNA
Rfam family: Bacterial small subunit ribosomal RNA
Source: RNAcentral